UGGUGUAGCUCAAUUGGCAGAGCAGCUGAUUUGUAAUCAGCAGGUUGAGGGUUCAAGUCCCCCCACC
Molecule: transfer RNA, 67 nt
Filed under: bovine gut metagenome
Rfam family: tRNA
About the family: Transfer RNA (tRNA) molecules are approximately 80 nucleotides in length. Their secondary structure includes four short double-helical elements and three loops (D, anti-codon, and T loops).
Source: RNAcentral